This 480-nucleotide ribosomal RNA is filed under the name uncultured bacterium. RNAcentral describes it as "SSU rRNA". It matches the Rfam family "Bacterial small subunit ribosomal RNA", at positions 26 to 523 of the family's 1533-position model. The record is from RNAcentral.
AGGACGAACGCUGGCGGCGUGCUUAACACAUGCAAGUCGAGCGGUAAGGCCCUUCGGGGUACACGAGUGGCGAACGGGUGAGUAACACGUGGGUGAUCUGCCCUGCACUUCGGGAUAAGCUUGGGAAACUGGGUCUAAUACCGGAUAUGACUACGAAUCGCAUGGUUUGUGGUGGAAAGCUUUUGCGGUGUGGGAUGGGCCCGCGGCCUAUCAGCUUGUUGGUGGGGUGAUGGCCUACCAAGGCGACGACGGGUAGCCGGCCUGAGAGGGUGUCCGGCCACACUGGGACUGAGAUACGGCCCAGACUCCUACGGGAGGCAGCAGUGGGGAAUAUUGCACAAUGGGCGCAAGCCUGAUGCAGCGACGCCGCGUGAGGGAUGACGGCCUUCGGGUUGUAACCUCUUUCAGUAUCGACGAAGCGCAAGUGACGGUAGGUACAGAAGAAGGACCGGCCAACGUACGCGCCAGCAGCCGCGGUAA